This 61-nucleotide transfer RNA is filed under the name Echinorhynchus truttae. RNAcentral describes it as "transfer RNA-Trp". The record is from RNAcentral. Lineage: Eukaryota; Metazoa; Acanthocephala; Palaeacanthocephala; Echinorhynchida; Echinorhynchidae.
UAAAAUUUAGGUUAUAUUAAACUUUAAAUUUUCAAAAUUUAAGAAACCAAGGUAGUUUUAG